UGGGAUUCAAUAUGAGGCGGGCUGGACCUCUCGGGGUUACAGCCUUGCUGAAUUAUUCACCCUUGUCUUUUGCGUACUUCUUGUUUCCUUGGUGGGUUCGCCCACCACUAGGACAAACAUAAACCUUUUGUAAUUGCAAUCAGCGUCAGUAACAAAUUAAUAAUUACAACUUUCAACAACGGAUCUCUUGGUUCUGGCAUCGAUGAAGAACGCAGCGAAAUGCGAUAAGUAGUGUGAAUUGCAGAAUUCAGUGAAUCAUCGAAUCUUUGAACGCACAUUGCGCCCUUUGGUAUUCCAAAGGGCAUGCCUGUUCGAGCGUCAUUUGUACCCUCAAGCUUUGCUUGGUGUUGGGCGUCUUGUCUCUAGCUUUGCUGGAGACUCGCCUUAAAGUAAUUGGCAGCCGGCCUACUGGUUUCGGAGCGCAGCACAAGUCGCACUCUCUAUCAGCAAAGGUCUAGCAUCCAUUAAGCCUUUUUUUCAACUUUUGACCUCGGAUCAGGUAGGGAUACCCGCUGAACUUAAGCAUAUCAAAAGGCCGGAGGAA
Molecule: ribosomal RNA, 544 nt
Filed under: Alternaria tenuissima
Lineage: Eukaryota; Fungi; Ascomycota; Dothideomycetes; Pleosporales; Pleosporaceae
Description: eukaryotic LSU rRNA
Rfam family: 5.8S ribosomal RNA (bases 168-321)
Source: RNAcentral